UGGGGAAUAUUGGACAAUGGGGGGAACCCUGAUCCAGCAACGCCGCGUGAAUGAAGAAGGCCUUAGGGUUGUAAAGUUCUUUUGUUAGGGAGCAAAGGGUAAUAGCUAAUAUCUAUUAUUGCUGAGAGUACCUAAAGAAUAAGCACCGGCUAACUACGUGCCAGCAGCCGCGGUAAUACGUAGGGUGCGAGCGUUAAUCGGAAUAACUGGGCGUAAAGGGUGCGCAGGCAGUUGUAUAAGUUAGAAGUGAAAAGCCUGGGCUUAACCUAGGUCGUGCUUUUAAUACUGUACAACUAGAGUAUGUAAGAGGGGGGUGGAAUUCCAAGUGUAGCAGUGAAAUGCGUAGAGAUUUGGAGGAACACCGAAGGCGAAGGCAGCCCCCUGGGAUAAUACUGACGCUCAGGCACGAAAGCGUGGGUAGCAAACA
This 427-nucleotide ribosomal RNA is filed under the name uncultured bacterium. RNAcentral describes it as "bacterial SSU rRNA". It matches the Rfam family "Bacterial small subunit ribosomal RNA", at positions 355 to 774 of the family's 1533-position model. The record is from RNAcentral.